RNAcentral lists this long non-coding RNA (1661 nucleotides) under Marmota monax (woodchuck). The record is from RNAcentral. Lineage: Eukaryota; Metazoa; Chordata; Mammalia; Rodentia; Sciuridae.
UUGAAUUUUCGUCCUCUAACAAUAUUUGCACUGCUGAUCAUAUAUCUUGUUCAUUUUUCUAUGAUUUGCUUGCUUUUCAGCUCAUUUCAAUGAGCUCUUUGUAAAGCAAGAAUAUCAAGUGUCCAUCUGUCAAAAGUUUUUAGUGGUUGAAAUAAAUUAUUUUCUUCCCUUUGUCUUAACAGAUGGAAUUCUUAAGCCCUCUUGUAUGAGGAAUUUCAGCCUGAUUCUAUUUAAAAACAAGAUAUAGGAAGUGGCAAGAGCCAAACUUUCACCUACUUUAAAGGACAAGUGAAUUGUAAGAAGGCAGCAUGAUGUACCCAAGGGACACUUGAAUGCUCAUCGUUGGGAAAAAAGCCAAACAUUCAUGCCUUUGAAAUCUGCAUAAAACUUGCAUGCCAGAACUCAAAAAGCUCACUCUUUCAAGUAGCUGUUUAAUAUCUUUCAAAAUGCUGAAUCUUCCAAAUUUUAAAUGAUGCUGCUCACAGAUUUUAAGGACCAUUUUGAGCAUCUAAGCACCAUUGUGAAAUAACACUGAGCAAAUCUUUAAGUUGGGAUCUGUCAGUGUAUCCUACAAGAUAAGUCCCAAUCCAGCCAGGGCAGUGUGUGCUAGAAAGGCUGAUAUGUAAAGGUUAGUGGAUUCCAGAUGUGCCUUUUUCAUUUUUUUGCCUUGUAAACUCAGAUGACUCCCUCAUGUGCCUUAUGGCUCAGUAUUUUCAUUUACAAAAUGAAAAUAAUAACUUUUCUAGCUAUCAAAUAGGUUGUUUUCCUCAUGAAAAGAAUUUAUGGUAAAGCCUUUUUUCUAAUCAUAUAGAACUUUCAAUUACUUUAAUUGUUAGGAACAAGACUUCUGUAGAUUAUUUUCAGCAAUAUCUUUUGGGUUCUCUGUUUUCCAACUUGUGAAAUGUUGUGAAGUACUUUUGACAAAAGCUAAUAUGAGAAUUUACUAUGAAAGAGGUGUAAACAUAUCCUUAAUUUCAUUUUAUCUCCUUUGUAUUUAAACAAUGUCACAUUUUGAUUAAACUUGCACAUUUUAGCUUCUUGUUAGGUCAUGUUCAAUGUGUAUCUUAAAAUAUAAGAAUGAACAGAAUUGGAAUCAACAAAUCCAAAACAAUCCUUUGCCCAAAAUGACAUAUGUACUAUGGGAAAUAAAAUAUUUAAGGUAUAUAAAGUAAGAUCUAAAAGAAUUUGACUAGAGAGAUUCUUAUGUGUUUCAAAUGUGUUUCUCUCCUAAUAUCUAAACAUUUGGGGAAAGUUUUUUUGUCUUUCAAAAGAGGAAUUGUUUUAAUGCUUAAAAUUCACAACAGUUAUAUAGUCCCCAAAUCCUCAUUGUUUUCUAAAGUUUACCUCAAAUCUGAGAGGCCUAAGCCACUUCAAAAUGAUUGAAACUUUAGUCAUAACCACACAAACUUUUCACUAAAGAGGGUGCUGUUACUAUUUAUUAUUAUUUAUUAUUUAAUUAUUGAAAUUGCCUGUGAAUGGCUCAGAUGAUCUGAAAAGCCACCCUUAUUCUGGAGAUUCACAUAACAUAGGAGCCCAGAUUAUCAUUCCUAAAAGAAUCAUUUUCUUAAACCGAUGAGUUGGGUUAAUUGUACCAGACCUGGCAGAAAGGAUAUGCUGUUAAACAUGUGGCAUGACUCCAGAACAUGUCUGCUCUUUUAUCU